Molecule: long non-coding RNA, 341 nt
Organism: Zea mays
Lineage: Eukaryota; Viridiplantae; Streptophyta; Magnoliopsida; Poales; Poaceae
Exons: 3
Source: RefSeq, a predicted model, not a curated record
UUUGAUUCUUGAUGUUAAUGUUGGGUCACUACUCAACUUUGAGGAACAGGAACGACACAGUCGCAACCCUCAACCUUUUGAUGAAUCUGUACUCCACACACUUCUAGACAAUUCAUUGCCUGAGACAGAUGAAUUGGACCAAUGCAAAGCGAUCAUGGUCCCCAUGGUAAGCAGGGGGCAUUGGACAUUGUAUGUUGUCAACAAGGUCAAGAAGUGCAUUCAUAUUUUAGAUUCCAACCCAUAUGGACCAACACUUGGUGGAACUACAUGGAAGGACUAUCAUUUUGCACAUUUGGGCUCAGGUGGCAGAAAGUUACCAUGGGCUAAGGUUAUUAUGAGCA